AACGAACGCUGGCGGCAGGCCUAACACAUGCAAGUCGAGCGAGGACUUCGGUCCUAGCGGCGGACGGGUGAGUAACGCGUGGGAACGUGCCCUUUGCUUCGGAAUAGCCCUGGGAAACUGGGAGUAAUACCGGAUGAGCCCUUUGGGGGAAAGAUUUAUCGGCGAAGGAUCGGCCCGCGUUGGAUUAGGUAGUUGGUGGGGUAAUGGCCUACCAAGCCGACGAUCCAUAGCUGGUUUGGGAGGAUGAUCAGCCACACUGGGACUGAGACACGGCCCAGACUCCUACGGGAGGCAGCAGUAGGGAAUCUUAGACAAUGGGGGAAACCCUGAUCUAGCCAUGCCGCGUGAGCGAUGAAGGCCUUAGGGUUGUAAAGCUCUUUCAGCUGGGAAGAUAAUGACGGUACCAGCAGAAGAAGCCCCGGCUAACUCCGUG
Molecule: ribosomal RNA, 433 nt
Filed under: uncultured bacterium
Lineage: Bacteria
Description: partial 16S ribosomal RNA
Rfam family: Bacterial small subunit ribosomal RNA
Source: RNAcentral